RNAcentral lists this ribosomal RNA (75 nucleotides) under Rhizopogon subsalmonius. RNAcentral describes it as "partial 5.8S ribosomal RNA". It matches the Rfam family "5.8S ribosomal RNA", at positions 82 to 154 of the family's 154-position model. Rfam says of the family: 5.8S ribosomal RNA (5.8S rRNA) is a component of the large subunit of the eukaryotic ribosome. Lineage: Eukaryota; Fungi; Basidiomycota; Agaricomycetes; Boletales; Rhizopogonaceae. The record is from RNAcentral.
CAGUGAAUCAUCGAAUCUUUGAACGCACCUUGCGCUCCUUGGUAUUCCGAGGAGCAUGCCUGUNUGAGUGUCAGU